RNAcentral lists this ribosomal RNA (180 nucleotides) under uncultured Glomeromycotina. RNAcentral's name for it is "partial small subunit ribosomal RNA". It matches the Rfam family "Eukaryotic small subunit ribosomal RNA", at positions 653 to 829 of the family's 1831-position model. The record is from RNAcentral. Lineage: Eukaryota; Fungi; Glomeromycota.
GGAUCAGUAGGUUGGUCAUGCCUAUGGUAUGUACUGGCUUUACUGGUUCCUCCUUCUUGAUGAUCUGUAAUGUCAUUAAUUUGGUGUUGCAGGGAGUCAGGACUGUUACUUUGAAAAAAUUAGAGUGUUUAAAGCAGGCAUACGCUUGAAUACAUUAGCAUGGAAUAAUGAAAUAGGACG